GGGUGCGAUCAUACCAGCACUAAUGCACCGGAUCCCAUCAGAACUCCGAAGUUAAGCGUGCUUGGGCGAGAGUAGUACUAGGAUGGGUGACCCCCUGGGAAGUCCUCGUGUUGCACCCC
Erythranthe guttata (spotted monkey flower) is the source of this 119-nucleotide non-coding RNA. NCBI's taxonomy places the organism in Eukaryota, Viridiplantae, Streptophyta, Magnoliopsida, Lamiales, Phrymaceae. The record is from Rfam.